Molecule: non-coding RNA, 605 nt
Organism: Microcebus murinus (gray mouse lemur)
Lineage: Eukaryota; Metazoa; Chordata; Mammalia; Primates; Cheirogaleidae
Source: RefSeq, a predicted model, not a curated record
GAGAGGACAGAGAACGAUGGGGUCUUCCACAGCUUCACAGCGUCACCAAACCAAUGGUGACACUGCCUGCCUACGUUAGCACUUUUAAGCAGGAAAAUUCUAAAUAUCCUUAUGGUUAAAGCCACUAUUCCUUGUGUUUGCAGUCAUAACUGCUGUCGUGCCAAAGAUGGCAUUUGUACCUACGGCUAAGGAGUUUGGACUUUAUCAUGAAGAGGAAUGAAUGGGAGCUACGUAAAGGUGUGGGUGGGGUAAUGAGUUUGUCAGAUUUGUGCUCUAAAAUCAUCUCGCUGGCUGCUAUGUGCAGAAUGGGCUGGCCGUGGAGAAACCAAGGCAGAGAGACCAGGACUAGAAGAGGCCAGGAGGACCACUCUGGGGAAGGAAAACCCCCUCUUCCUCUACUGGACCCUUGGAUUUGUUUGUGCAGAGCUGGGCGGUGGGCAACUUGGAGCUUUUGUCUGCCUUUUCAGCUUCGACUGACAAUUUGAGAAGUGGGGCAGGGGGUUCAACGAUGCAUGAGCGAUGGCCAAGCAUGUAAAUUAAAACCAGCGACGCAUCGUUUCCCGCAUGCCCUCAAGAGUUAUUCUUUAUUAAAGUUCUCAUGCUGA